GAGAACACAGCUUCACAGGCAGAACACAACACACAGAUGCAAGGUCUCCUGAUGGCAGAAAACCUUAUAACCAGAGACGGGGUUACUCCGUGUUAGCCAGGAUGGUCUCGAUCUCCUGACCUCGUGAUCCACCUGCCUUGGCCUCCCAAAGUGCUGGGAUUCUGUAAUCCCAGUGAGCCACCGCGCCUGGCCCAUAAUCAACCUCAGCUGCCAACGCCAGAAUCAACCUCAGCUGCCAAAUGCUAGACUGAAAAAAGAAUGUAAACAGCUUGAUGGAGGGGAGGAUCCUGGUGCACCUGUGGUUUUGACAGCUUUUGCUGCUGCUUGAGGAGGAAACAGGUUGCCUGUUUGUUCUUCAAGAGCACUUCUGGCAUCCAGGUAUUAUGCAGGCAUGCACUGCCAGCUGUGAAAGAUGCCGCUUCCUUGUCACUUCAGAGAAUGAUGCUUCUACAGAAGAUCCCUCUUGCUAUUUCAUUCAGGGAGCUCGGGAGAGGAAGACAAAAAGAAUCAAAUGCAAAGCACAGAUCAUUGAAAGGGCCAGGGUCUGAAGUGAGACAACUCGUGUCACAGUGUUUUCAAACUUGAGAAUGGUACAGUAAAUUAGAAUGACUUAAUUGUAGUGAUUUUAAAAAGAUAUGAGUCCUCUAAUGGAUGGAUUAAAGAAAAGAAUAGCAAGAAAAUGCACAUAUACCAAAUUUUGACUGCCCGUGUGUUUAUACAGCCAAUGUUCUGUUCUGGUCAAGAAGAAAAGUUCCAAAGAUCUUAAAGAUGUCCCAGAAAAGUUCUAGAGUACUAUCAGAUCUCACACUUUGCCUUGGAAGCUGUCAUUCCCCUCCAUUGGCCCCACAACUGCAGUAUAAUCUUCAGUGACAGGAGAAAAUCGACCUUGUUUGUACAGAAGUCUCAGCAGGAAUAGGCAGAUGCCUGUUUUUGCUGCCAAGGAUGGAGGAUUGGAAUGGGCCCAUUAUAUAUUUUGAGGCUUUGAAGAAAAGUCUCAGGAUAUGUUUUCCCAUUAAAAUACUGUUAUAAACAA
RNAcentral lists this long non-coding RNA (1033 nucleotides) under Homo sapiens (human). RNAcentral describes it as "long independently transcribed non-coding RNA 2024 (LINC02024)". Lineage: Eukaryota; Metazoa; Chordata; Mammalia; Primates; Hominidae. The record is from RNAcentral.